Long non-coding RNA from Panicum virgatum (switchgrass), 2373 nucleotides. RefSeq lists it as uncharacterized. The record is from RefSeq and is a predicted model, not a curated record. Lineage: Eukaryota; Viridiplantae; Streptophyta; Magnoliopsida; Poales; Poaceae. The transcript has 3 exons.
CAGCUUGCAACUUGGCCGACGAUCCCUUCCCGGCACGAGGUUGGAGAAGACGGAGUGGGCAGCGGUGCUGAAGCAGCAGUGACGCAGCAACAUGGGCGAGUCACGGGUGGCAGCACGAGAGGGCCGCCGCGCGGCGGACCAAGCCGUCGGCAGGAGGGCCGCGUCUAGAACCUCCGCACCCCGCGGAACGAAGCAGGGGGCCAUCGACCUGGAGCUCGAUGCACCGCCGCCGCCGGUGGCGGGUGGCAGGAGGGCGACGGAGCUGGCCAUGACGCUGCUAGCGGAGCUUAUAUAGAUAUAUUUUCCUGACUACUUCUUUUCUUUCGUUUUCUUGUGAUGAUAGACCAGUGCUAGUAAAUUUCUCCAUAUUCUUGCCACAUUUCUCAUCAAAAUAAAUAGCUCCAAAUUGAAGACCAGAUGACAUUAGAGAAUUACCCGCUGCUAUAUUUGAAUUAUUUUGUCCAGCCAUGGGCUCAUCACCGCGCCCCAGGAAGGGCGUCGUCGUGGUGGUGCGGCGGCUGCUGCGUCGUGGCCCGCGGACUGAAGUUGUGGCCGGCGCUACGAAACGGGUGGGCAGCAAGAAGGCCUCUGCACGCCGGAGCAGGGGCAGGCAGGAGGGCCGCUGCUCGCCGGAGCAAGAGGGAGCAAAGCGCGAAUCGGAAGCCGUAGUUAUGGGGGUAAUUUGGUCAUUUCCCAUUCUUUUUCAGUUAAUCUGAAUAAAGAAUAGACUCUAGUGUCCUGCAGCAAAUUGGAAUGGUUGAAGAGUGUCUCUCAGCAAAGGCAUAGUUUUUUAGUGGUUUGAAGCAAAAGUCAACAUUAAAGGAUGUCCUACAGCCAAUUUUCCCAAACUCUGACGGCGAUAUGAAAUAGGUGCAGGUGGAUGGGGAUUUAUCAUUCGUGAUGAGGAUAGAGGUGUGAUAAGCUCUGGCAGGGGUAGGUUGGAUCAAGAACCCUUGAAUGCCUAUGCAGCUCCGUCGGUUCAUUUAAAAAGUCACGAUCCCCUUUUUCCGCGGCUUCCAAGUUCCAAAUACCCGCCGUCACGGCAACUGGCGGCGGCGGCGGCGCUUGCACCCUGGGAUAGCUGCGACGGUCGGCGGUGCGUGGCAGAGAGCUUCCAUUUGCUCCAAGCAGCACGCGCUCCAUGCGGGAGCUACGGUUCUGCGACUAGUGCCAGGUGGGUGUCUGGCAAUUGAGUUGCUUGGAAGGUCGAAAUCAUUGGAGCUGGAAUAUGUGGGCCAUCUCGUGCGUAAAUAAAACAGUUACUUUCGUGUACGCCUUAUGAUCUUGUUCAGUCAGUACAGUACAUAGUCAAGAAAGAGAACUUAAAACUAUGAGUCCACAAAAAGAAUAACCAGGAUAAUAUUUUGAUCUGGAUACCAAAACCAACUUUAUCUAGACUAAAUUUUCACAAAUUGGCACCGUAUCUGAUAAAGUUAAAAUCUUCAUCUCGAAAGCUUCCACAUAAAUUGAUUUCAGAAAAAAGAAUAGUAGUGACAGCAACCCUGAUGAACCAGUGCCAAGUGUUGCUUGCAUUAUCCUGAACCUGCACUAAGAAAUUUGAUAUUUCAAUCUUCAGACAGUAGACUGAGAUUUCGGUAGGCCACCAACCUUUGCAUGCUACCAUUGACCCAUCCAGCUACCGAAAACUUUGACCGAGGAAAAUAUAUUCAUCUGCAGAACUUUCCAUGACUCUGAUACAGCCAUGAUGUAAACGCACACCCCGCCUUCCAUAUGAAGCUAUGAAAGCACAUAAUUAUUCGGUUCCUUUUCUGUCAUCCAAUUGCAAAUAUACCCAUACAAGCAACCUCCCUGAAGACAGUCAGCACCCUUCAGUUUGCAUUCUCCCUAGAGCUGAUGGCACUUAAUAACAACUCCCCCAUUCAGUUGGCCCCUUCAUCAGUCAGCAAUUCUCCAGCCACACCGGCCAUUACACCUCCAGCCACUCCAGGCAGCAGCGAUCCUCCGGCUACUCCUGGUCCUGGAGCAGGAGAUGAUCCUCCGGCCGUUCAACCCGUCGCACCGGCUGUUCCAGAUCCAGAUAGUGAGAACCGUCAUGACCCUAAAGCAUUUAUUCGUGACCCAUGAUGUUGUCAGCGGCAUCGCAUACCUUGCGCGAGUGUCCAAGAAGAUUUUUGCCCAGGCGCAUGAGUGGCGGCCUAGUCUUAGGAUUGGCAAUAAUUAAUGUGUCGGUUUAUGUCAGACCUUUUUGUAUCAGGCUGUGUGCUCCUAGAGCAGAGGUCGGGAAAAUCUCAAGACGUAUCACACUAUCACCUUGAUGUAUCCCUCUUGAAAUCAAUAAAGCUUCCCCUUUCCAAAAAAAAAAAAUUGUUGUGAGCUGAGCUAGAAUCAUGACCAGUCUUAGGGUCCAGUAAC